GGUAAUAUGGCCGAGAAGAGGCGGUGGGCUGUAGACCCAUUCACAGGGCGGUACAACCCUUAUUAUCA
RNAcentral lists this transfer RNA (68 nucleotides) under Pachydactylus otaviensis. RNAcentral describes it as "tRNA-Tyr". The record is from RNAcentral. Lineage: Eukaryota; Metazoa; Chordata; Lepidosauria; Squamata; Gekkonidae.